UGACAAAAAUUUUCUACAGGAAAAAAAAAUACCAUAACUUAAAUAUUAGCCCAUCAAGAAGCAAUGUCUGCAUCUGUUAUUUAACUGUGGAAUUCUUCCCACAAGUUCUUCAAGUUCUCAACUUUUAAAUAAUUAAGAAGUUAUUUCUAAAAUUUUAGUAUCUUGUAGGGAGGCAGAGAGAAACAGUGCAUGGAGACUCACCAAUGCUGCAGAUGAUUUAGAUUG
Molecule: unclassified non-coding RNA, 225 nt
Filed under: Hevea brasiliensis (rubber tree)
Lineage: Eukaryota; Viridiplantae; Streptophyta; Magnoliopsida; Malpighiales; Euphorbiaceae
Source: RNAcentral